RNAcentral lists this ribosomal RNA (156 nucleotides) under uncultured bacterium. RNAcentral describes it as "partial 16S ribosomal RNA". It matches the Rfam family "Bacterial small subunit ribosomal RNA", at positions 1345 to 1500 of the family's 1533-position model. The record is from RNAcentral.
CGGAUCAGAAUGCCGCGGUGAAUACGUUCCCGGGUCUUGUACACACCGCCCGUCACACCACGAGAGUUUACAACACCCGAAGUCAGUGGCCUAACCGCAAGGAGGGAGCUGCCUAAGGUGGGGUAGAUGAUUGGGGUGAAGUCGUAACAAGGUAGC